AUUCCUCACUGAUCGUGUUUGAUGAUGUCGUAUGUUUUUGUGCAGAGGACCUACAACAACUGGUUAAAUCAUUGCUUACAGAAUCCGGCAUCUCUCCGAUUUGGCACCAAUUUUGAUGCAUUCGGUAUCUGUCGCACGUUAUUUGCCCUCCCAUCACCGUGUGGGCUUUGCACUGUCAACAUUCUACUAAAAGCGAUCGUACACAAAGUUUACUAUUACUGCGAUGCCUACUUCUAGCCUCGUCAAGUGGAUUUAAUUCUGAAAGUGAAGCAACUUUUAAGAAUAGCAGCAGCAAAACAAGUCCCACCAGAACUGCCUCUUUCCUUGCUGUCAUACAAAACCUCCCCUAGACAGAUACUUGAGUGCAUCUUCAGUUCUCAGACAGCAAGGAGGAGACGUUAUUUAAUUAAGGAUAGUUUCUCAUUUGACUUUUGGACUUUACCGCAACUCCUAGCUGACACAACAUUUUGGAUAUAGCGCUAUUUAUUCUCAGGGACAUAAGAGGAGGUGAAGGACAGGAUAUGAAGCAUCUGAGGAUUCUCCUCCUUCUAGCAGGACUAGUGGGGACAACAUCAGGCCAGAGCACAACAGCAAUAUCCCAAGAUGUUGGCGUCAAUACAACAAAAGCACCUGUCAAGAUAACUUCAGGUCCAAUCAAUGUGACAGCAACAUCAAGACCACCUGUCAAUGUAACCUCAGGUCAAACCAAUGUGACAGCAACAUCAAGACCACCUGUAAACAUAACUUCAGGUCCAAUCAAUGUGACAGCAAUACCAAGACCACCUGCCAGUGUUACUUCAGGUCCAAUCAAUGUGACAGCAACAUCAAGACCACCUGUCAAUGUAACUUCAGGUCCAAUCAAUGUGC
Esox lucius (northern pike) is the source of this 867-nucleotide RNA transcript. RefSeq lists it as uncharacterized. The transcript is spliced from 4 exons. The record is from RefSeq and is a predicted model, not a curated record. Lineage: Eukaryota; Metazoa; Chordata; Actinopteri; Esociformes; Esocidae.